GGUGAUAUAGCUCAGUUGGUAGAGUGUUCUUCUAGCAUAGCAAGGAACCUUGAGUUUGAGCCCCAAUACCACCU
Molecule: transfer RNA, 74 nt
Filed under: Neotoma lepida (desert woodrat)
Lineage: Eukaryota; Metazoa; Chordata; Mammalia; Rodentia; Cricetidae
Rfam family: tRNA
About the family: Transfer RNA (tRNA) molecules are approximately 80 nucleotides in length.
Source: Rfam by way of RNAcentral